UAGAUACCCUGGUAGUCCACGCCGUAAACGAUGGGUACUAGGUGUAGGUGGUUUAGAUACCAUCUGUGCCGCAGUUAACGCAUUAAGUACCCCGCCUGGGGAGUACGAUGGCAACAUUGAAACUCAAAGGAAUUGACGGGGGCCCGCACAAGCAGCGGAGCAUGUGGUUUAAUUCGAAGCAACGCGAAGAACCUUACCAGGGCUUGACAUCCUCUGAAGGCACUAGAGAUAGUGCUGUCCCUUCGGGGCA
This 250-nucleotide ribosomal RNA is filed under the name uncultured bacterium. Its description in RNAcentral is "partial 16S ribosomal RNA". It matches the Rfam family "Bacterial small subunit ribosomal RNA", at positions 779 to 1028 of the family's 1533-position model. The record is from RNAcentral.